UUGUACACAGGUUCAGAUCCUCUGACUUUGACGCAGGAAAGUCAAGGUGACUUUGAGAGGAUCAUGUGUGUCAGAUUAAUCUAGUACACCAAGCCAUGCCACAUUUUUCUCUAAUUAAUUUCUUCUUAAAAAUAAACUUAAUCUUACAAGGUAAUGAAAAAUGGAAUGUAUUGCAUCUCAUUCCUUAUAUCUUCCACAAUCUUUGCACCUCCUUUAACCUUUCAUUAUCGUCACACAUCCUUCAAUCUUUGUU
This 253-nucleotide long non-coding RNA is filed under the name Lathyrus oleraceus (garden pea). RNAcentral's name for it is "Pisum sativum (pea) long non-coding RNA (PSAT_LNC011670)". Lineage: Eukaryota; Viridiplantae; Streptophyta; Magnoliopsida; Fabales; Fabaceae. The record is from RNAcentral.